RNAcentral lists this unclassified non-coding RNA (214 nucleotides) under plant metagenome. RNAcentral describes it as "partial contains small subunit ribosomal RNA, internal transcribed spacer 1, and 5.8S ribosomal RNA". The record is from RNAcentral.
UCUCCGUUGGUGAACCAGCGGAGGGAUCAUUACCGAGUUUACAACUCCCAAACCCCUGUGAACAUACCUAUCGUUGCUUCGGCGGGACCGCCCCGUGGCCUUUGUGCCCGGAACCAGGCGCCCGCCGGGGACCCCAAACUCUUGUAUUUUUUGGAAUUAUCUGGGUGAAAAAACAAAUGAAUCAAAACUUUCAACAACGGAUCUCUUGGUUCUG